AAGUCAUUUCCAGUCAACAGUGAUGUAGGGGUGCUAAAGUGGAGACUACAAACCACAGAAGAAUCUUUUAUUCCACUGACAACUAAUUGCUGGCCUUCAGAAAGUGGAAGUGGCUGUGAUGUCAAUAUAGAAUAUGAACUACAAGAAGAUAAUUUAGAACUGAAUGACGUGGUUAUCACCAUCCCACUUCCGUCUGGUGUUGGUGCACCUGUGAUUGGUGAGAUCGAUGGGGAAUACUGACAUGACAGUCGACGAAAUACCUUGGAGUGGUGUCUGCCAGUGAUUGAUGCCAAAAAUAAGAGUGGCAGCCUGGAGUUUAGCAUUGCUGGACAGCCCAAUGACUUCUUCCCUGUUCAAGUUUCCUUCAUCUCCAAAAAAAAUUACUGCAAUAUACAGGUAACCCAUUUUAAUAGAGUGCAU
This is a non-coding RNA of Oryctolagus cuniculus (rabbit), 420 nucleotides long. The record is from RefSeq and is a predicted model, not a curated record. Lineage: Eukaryota; Metazoa; Chordata; Mammalia; Lagomorpha; Leporidae.